This 460-nucleotide ribosomal RNA is filed under the name uncultured bacterium. RNAcentral's name for it is "partial 16S ribosomal RNA". It matches the Rfam family "Bacterial small subunit ribosomal RNA", at positions 338 to 795 of the family's 1533-position model. The record is from RNAcentral.
CCUACGGGUGGCAGCAGUGAGGAAUAUUGGUCAAUGGGCGCGAGCCUGAACCAGCCAAGUAGCGUGCAGGAUGACUGCCCUACGGGUUGUAAACUUCUUUUAUAAAGGAAUAAACUGAGGCACGCGUGCCUUUUUGUAUGUACUUUAUGAAUAAGGAUCGGCUAACUCCGUGCCAGCAGCCGCGGUAAUACGGAGGAUCCGAGCGUUAUCCGGAUUUAUUGGGUUUAAAGGGAGCGUAGAUGGGUUGUUAAGUUAGUGGUGAAAGUUUGCGGCUCAACCGUAGAAUUGCAAUUGAUACUGGCAGUCUUGAGUACAGUUGAGGUAGGCGGAAUGUGUGGUGUAGCGGUGAAAUGCUUAGAUAUCACAAAGAACACCGAUUGCGAAGGCAGCUUACGAAACUGCCACUGACAUUGAUGCACGAAAGUGUGGGUAUCAAACAGGAUUAGAUACCCUAGUAGUC